This is a long non-coding RNA of Oncorhynchus keta (chum salmon), 2778 nucleotides long. RefSeq lists it as uncharacterized. NCBI's taxonomy places the organism in Eukaryota, Metazoa, Chordata, Actinopteri, Salmoniformes, Salmonidae. The transcript is spliced from 3 exons. The record is from RefSeq and is a predicted model, not a curated record.
GAGGGCUUUUAUCCAUAGUUCCAAAAGAGAGAGAGGUGGUUGUGUCGUCGGAGAGGGCUUUUAUCCAUAGUUCCAAAAGAGAGAGAGGUGGUUGUGUCGAUGGAGAGGGCUUUUAUCCAUAGUUCCAAAAGAGAGAGAGGUGGUUGUGUCGUCGGAGAGGGCUUUUAUCCAUAGUUCCAAAAGAGAGAGAGGUGGUUGUGUCGUCGGAGAGGGCUUUUAUCCAUAGUUCCAAAAGAGAGAGAGGUGGUUGUGUCGCCAGAGAGAGAGGUGGUUGUGUCGUUGGAGAGGGCUUUUAUCCAUAGUUCCAAAAGAGAGAGAGGUGGUUGUGUCGUCGGAGAGGGCUUUUAUCCAUAGUUCCAAAAGAGAGAGAGGUGGUUGUGUCGCCAGAGAGAGAGGUGGUUGUGUCGGCGGAGAGGGCUUUUAUCCAUAGUUCCAAAAGAGAGAGAGGUGGUUGUGUCGCCGGAGAGGGCUUUUAUCCAUAGUUCCAAAAGAGAGAGAGGUGGUUGUGUCGCCAGAGAGAGAGGUGGUUGUGUCGGCGGAGAGGGCUUUUAUCCAUAGUUCCAAAAGAGAGAGAGGUGGUUGUGUCGCAGGAGAGGGCUUUUAUCCAUAGUUCCAAAAGAGAGAGAGGUGGUUGUGUCGCCAGAGAGAGAGGUGGUUGUGUCGGCGGAGAGGGCUUUUAUCCAUAGUUCCAAAAGAGAGAGAGGUGGUUGUGUUGCCAGAGAGAGAGGUGCUUGUGUCGUCGGAGAGGGCUUUUAUCCAUAGUUCCAAAAGAGAGAGAGGUGGUUGUGUCGCCGGAGAGGGCUUUUAUCCAUAGUUCCAAAAGAGAGAGAGGUGGUUGUGUUGCCAGAGAGAGAGGUGCUUGUGUCGUCGGAGAGGGCUUUUAUCCAUAGUUCCAAAAGAGAGGGAGGUGGUUGUGUCGCCGGAGAGGGCUUUUAUCCAUAGUUCCAAAAGAGAGAGAGGUGGUUGUGUCGCCAGAGAGAGAGGUGGUUGUGUCGGCGGAGAGGGCUUUUAUCCAUAGUUCCAAAAGAGAGAGAGGUGGUUGUGUUGCCAGAGAGAGAGGUGCUUGUGUCGUCGGAGAGGGCUUUUAUCCAUAGUUCCAAAAGAGAGGGAGGUGGUUGUGUCGCCGGAGAGGGCUUUUAUCCAUAGUUCCAAAAGAGAGAGAGGUGGUUGUGUCGCCAGAGAGAGAGGUGGUUGUGUCGGCGGAGAGGGCUUUUAUCCAUAGUUCCAAAAGAGAGAGAGGUGGUUGUGUCGGCGGAGAGGGCUUUUAUCCAUAGUUCCAAAAGAGAGAGAGGUGGUUGUGUCGACGGAGAGGGCUUUUAUCCAUAGUUCCAAAAGAGAGAGAGGUGGUUGUGUCGUCGGAGAGGGCUUUUAUCCAUAGUUCCAAAAGAGAGAGAGGUGGUUGUGUCGUCGGAGAGGGCUUUUAUCUAUAGUUCCAAAAGAGAGAGAGGUGGUUGUGUCGUCGGAGAGGGCUUUUAUCUAUAGUUCCAAAAGAGAGAGAGGUGGUUGUGUCGUCGGAGAGGGCUUUUAUCCAUAGUUCCAAAAGAGAGAGAGGUGGUUGUGUCGUCGGAGAGGGCUUUUAUCCAUAGUUCCAAAAGAGAGAGAGGUGGUUGUGUCAUUGGAGAGGGCUUUUAUCCAUAGUUCCAAAAGAGAGAGAGGUGGUUGUGUCGUCGGAGAGGGCUUUUAUCCAUAGUUCCAAAAGAGAGAGAGGUGGUUGUGUCGUCGGAGAGGGCUUUUAUCCAUAGUUCCAAAAGAGAGAGAGGUGGUUGUGUCGGCGGAGAGAACUUUUAUCCAUAGUUCCAAAAGAGAGAGAGGUGGUUGUGUCGUCGGAGAGGGCUUUUAUCCAUAGUUCCAAAAGAGAGAGAGGUGGUUGUGUCGUCGGAGAGGGCUUUUAUCCAUAGUUCCAAAAGAGAGAGAGGUGGUUGUGUCGUCGGAGAGGGCUUUUAUCCAUAGUUCCAAAAGAGAGAGAGGUGGUUGUGUCGUCGGAGAGGGCUUUUAUCCAUAGUUCCAAAAGAGAGAGAGGUGGUUGUGUCGACGGAGAGGGCUUUUAUCCAUAGUUCCAAAAGAGAUAGAGUUGGUUGUGUCGCCAGAGAGGGCUUUUAUCCAUAGUUCCAAAAGAGAGAGAGGUGGUUGUGUCGUCGGAGAGGGCUUUUAUCCAUAGUUCCAAAAGAGAGAGAGGUGGUUGUGUCGCCAGAGAGGGCUUUUAUCCAUAGUUCCAAAAGAGAGAGAGGUGGUUGUGUCGCCAGAGAGGGCUUUUAUCCAUAGUUCCAAAAGAGAGAGAGGUGGUUGUGUCACCGGAGAGGGCUUUUAUCCAUAGUUCCAAAAGAGAGAGAGGUGGUUGUGUCGCCAGAGAGGGCUUUUAUCCAUAGUUCCAAAAGAGAGAGAGGUGGUUGUGUCGUCGGAGAGGGCUUUUAUCCAUAGUUCCAAAAGAGAGAGAGGUGGUUGUGUCGCCAGAGAGAACUUUUAUCCAUAGUUCCAAAAGAGAGAGAGGUGGUUGUGUCGUUGGAGAGGGCUUUUAUCCAUAGUUCCAAAAGAGAGAGAGGUGGUUGUGUCGUCGGAGAGGGCUUUUAUCCAUAGUUCCAAAAGAGAGAGAGGUGUUUGUGUCGCCAGAGAGGGCUUUUAUCCAUAGUUCCAAAAGAGAGAGAGGUGGUUGUGUCGCCAGAGAGAGAGGUGGUUGUGUCGACGGAGAGGGCUUUUAUCCAUAGUUCCAAAAGAGAGAGAGGUGGUUGUGUCGCCAGAGAGAGAGGUGGUUGUGUCGACGGAGAGGGCUUUUAUCCAUAG